AGAAAGCCAUACCCAAACCCUGCGAAUACACAGCUUAGGCUGAGCCCAGAGCAUUUCCUUCUCUGUUCUAUCACUAAGCCUAAGAGGCUUCUAGUCUCUAUACAAUCUAAUCUUCCAAGCUGACUAAUUCAAACUGACAUCUCUCGGCUUCUAAUGGGAUUGCUCUGCUUGGCCUCAAUGGAUCACAUCAACCAUGUUGGGAAAAAUGGAACAGAAUUGAGGCUCUAACUAAAAGUCUUACAGCCACUAGAUUCUUGGUGAAAGGAAAGCACCUCCGACAAAUGACAUUGAACAAAUGGAAUAGCCACAUACAUGAAUGAAAAUAGGUCUCGACCUUUUACCCUGAGCAGACCUCAAACCUAGAUGUAUCAAUGGACUUCAGCAUAAUACCGGCUGUCUGAAACCUGAGAGUGAAGAAAGUAGUAGUACACUGAAAUGUAGAGGAGCAGAUGGGAUGGUCUGGGACACUGGACGAUUGUUUUCAUCUUUCCAAAUCAUGGGGUGAAUAAACAUGUGAGGACAGAAUGAGCUGACAAAGCUUAUGGCUGAGUGAUGUUUAAAUGGAAAUCUACCAGUGAGCUCUCACAGAGAAGUGCAGGCUUAGAUACAGUGAAGAAGGCAUCCUGGGAAACCUUGGCUGAAGGAAGAUUCCUGACCAACGUUGAUGCAAUCAUCUAUCUACUGAGGCUGAGGACUGGCUGAUACCCUGCAACAUUGUGGACUGCUGAUCAGCUUCUCUCACUAUAAUUACAAAUUUAAGAAUUAAGCUCAUUUUAAGGGAUCUGCCUGAAAAUAAUCCCAGAAAGCUGCAAACAUCCCUGGUGAAACUGAAGAUGUCCUGAGCUUCCUGGCAAA
Molecule: long non-coding RNA, 855 nt
Organism: Mus caroli (Ryukyu mouse)
Lineage: Eukaryota; Metazoa; Chordata; Mammalia; Rodentia; Muridae
Source: RefSeq, a predicted model, not a curated record